Molecule: long non-coding RNA, 1371 nt
Organism: Athalia rosae (coleseed sawfly)
Lineage: Eukaryota; Metazoa; Arthropoda; Insecta; Hymenoptera; Athaliidae
Exons: 3
Source: RefSeq, a predicted model, not a curated record
UUGAAAUGAAAUUUGCCAUUCUACUUGCUGAGUUGAAAAACUAAAAACGUUCAUGUUUAUCGCAAUUUGGCAAUUAUUUGCAAACUACAUCGGUAAUCCGUCUGAUCCAGCGCCUAUGCGUGUUCGACAUUAAUAAUAUAAAUUAACGAGUGUUUUCGAUACAACGUGCGCGGCCACGUCGAUGCUCACGACGUCCCAUUAGCGCUGUUGACCGACGCGGAGAAUAAUUGUCUUCCAUUUUGGGAAAUAUAAUUACAGGGUACUUUUUCCGAACCGGUGUUCCGUCGCUCAACUGUAUAAUAUAUGAAGUACGUAUCGUUCGCCACUUAUUGUAGUGCAUACAAUUACGAGUGCUCCGUGAUCGAUUUUAACCGCGUUGAAACAGUUAUCGUCGUGAAUGACGAUCCUUUGCCGAAUUAGUAUCCCAACAAUCGAGCGAAUCUCCACGCUCAUGUGCAGACUUGCAUCUCUUUUCCAACACUGUAGCUGCGGCGGUUGGAAGGACGAAAAAAAAAGGACAGACAAAAAACGAAAUGGAAAAGAUUCUAAUAGUUUCUCAGCGAUGCGGAUAGUAUACGCGUAGAAGUCGUGUACAAAUGGGAAGUUUCUGCGUUUUCGGGUUGAAAGAGGGUUCAGGAAAUCACGUAGCUGUGCACACGGCGUAUCAUGUGCGACCUGACCCUCAGAUUCUACGUCGACAGCUAUCCUGCGCGGCCGCCCGGUUGCCUUACCAAAUCCAAUCAAGUGCGGAUUGGAAUGCGGCGUGGCUAAGAGAGCGAGAGAGAUGAAAUUCGUUGUCUCUAACGGAGAGAAAGAGAAGGCUUGACGCCGUUGCGACUCCCGCUCGAUGAUGAUGAUGAUCAUCAUCAUGAUCAUGAUGAUGAUGAUGAUGAUGAUGAUGAUGAUGAUGAUGUUUCAUGCCGACAGCGCGUAAUCUCAGAGAUUCAACUCCGCGGAACGACAAAAAAAAAUUAUGUGAUAAAAUCAGAUAAAAUAAUAUAAUUAGAAACGGAUAUUUUACUCUUGUUCACAUGUCUUUUUUUUAUUCAUUAGUUUUUUUUUUUUCGAUUCAUCAACUGCGACAUUAAAAGAGUUAUAUUUCACUGUAAAAUAUUCAUUUUUAUUACACGGUAUCAUUGGUUCGACGAGUCAAAUGCGUUAGUAUGAUAUAACGAGGCGUAAAUUACAUUACAGAUAUAUAUAUGCAGCGUUAUUAUUAUCCAGGAAACUUAAUUUUACGAAUUAUGUCAAAAUCAAACGUAAAUAUCAGCGUUAUACCCACAUACAUGUUGCGUGUCAUUAUGUGAUAAGAAUGAAAGAAUUGACCAAUUGUUACCUAUUCAUAUACUAUUUUUAUAAUAAAUCGAUAUA